Long non-coding RNA from Phascolarctos cinereus (koala), 151 nucleotides. RefSeq lists it as uncharacterized. The record is from RefSeq and is a predicted model, not a curated record. Lineage: Eukaryota; Metazoa; Chordata; Mammalia; Diprotodontia; Phascolarctidae.
UCAACAUACCCCAUGCAGUGAACCGAGACAUUCAUUUCCAACAAUAUAUCCACCCCAAAGGCACAACAAUAUUCCCACUGCUCACCCCAGUCUUGCAUGACAAGAAAGAGUUUCCCAAGGCUGACCAGUUUGACCCACAGCACUUCCUGGA